UAGGGAAUCUUCGGCAAUGGACGGAAGUCUGACCGAGCAACGCCGCGUGAGUGAAGAAGGUUUUCGGAUCGUAAAGCUCUGUUGUAAGAGAAGAACGAGUGUGAGAGUGGAAAGUUCACACUGUGACGGUAUCUUACCAGAAAGGGACGGCUAACUACGUGCCAGCAGCCGCGGUAAUACGUAGGUCCCGAGCGUUGUCCGGAUUUAUUGGGCGUAAAGCGAGCGCAGGCGGUUAGAUAAGUCUGAAGUUAAAGGCUGUGGCUUAACCAUAGUACGCUUUGGAAACUGUUUAACUUGAGUGCAAGAGGGGAGAGUGGAAUUCCAUGUGUAGCGGUGAAAUGCGUAGAUAUAUGGAGGAACACCGGUGGCGAAAGCGGCUCUCUGGCUUGUAACUGACGCUGAGGCUCGAAAGCGUGGGGAGCAAACAGGAUUAGAUACCCUGGUAGUCCACGCCGUAAACGAUGAGUGCUAGGUGUUAGACCCUUUCCGGGGCUUAGUGCCGUAGCUAACGCAUUAAGCACUCCGCCUGGGGAGUACGACCGCAAGGUUG
RNAcentral lists this ribosomal RNA (550 nucleotides) under uncultured bacterium. Its description in RNAcentral is "bacterial SSU rRNA". It matches the Rfam family "Bacterial small subunit ribosomal RNA", at positions 355 to 896 of the family's 1533-position model. The record is from RNAcentral.